UGGGGAAUAUUGCGCAAUGGGCGAAAGCCUGACGCAGCGACGCCGCGUGAGGGAUGAAGGUUUUCGGAUCGUAAACCUCUGUCAGAAGGGAAGAAACCGCACUGUGCUAAUCAGCAGUGCCUUGACGGUACCUUCAAAGGAAGCACCGGCUAACUCCGUGCCAGCAGCCGCGGUAAUACGGAGGGUGCAAGCGUUAAUCGGAAUUACUGGGCGUAAAGCGCACGUAGGCUGCUUUGUAAGUCAGGGGUGAAAUCCCACGGCUCAACCGUGGAACUGCCUUUGAUACUGCUUAGCUUGAAUCCGGGUGAGGGUGGCGGAAUUCCAGGUGUAGGAGUGAAAUCCGUAGAUAUCUGGAGGAACAUCAGUGGCGAAGGCGGCCACCUGGACCGGUAUUGACGCUGAGGUGCGAAAGCGUGGGGAGCAAACAGG
This 429-nucleotide ribosomal RNA is filed under the name Fusobacteriota bacterium. Its description in RNAcentral is "Fusobacteria bacterium partial 16S ribosomal RNA". It matches the Rfam family "Bacterial small subunit ribosomal RNA", at positions 355 to 776 of the family's 1533-position model. The record is from RNAcentral. Lineage: Bacteria; Fusobacteriati; Fusobacteriota.